GGGUGUGACUGCGUACCUUUUGUAUAAUGGGUCAGCGACUUAUAUUCUGUAGCAAGGUUAACCGUAUAGGGGAGCCGUAGGGAAACCGAGUCUUAACCGGGCGUUAAGUUGCAGGGUAUAGACCCGAAACCCGGUGAUCUAGCCAUGGGCAGGUUGAAGGUUGGGUAACACUAACUGGAGGACCGAACCGACUAAUGUUGAAAAAUUAGCGGAUGACCUGUGGCUGGGGGUGAAAGGCCAAUCAAACCGGGAGAUAGCUGGUUCUCCCCGAAAGCUAUUUAGGUAGCGCCUCGUGAAUUCAUCUCCGGGGGUAGAGCACUGUUUCGGCUAGGGGGCCAUCCCGGCUUACCAACCCGAUGCAAACUGCGAAUACCGGAGAAUGUUAUCACGGGAGACACACGGCGGGUGCUAACGUCCGUCGUGAAGAGGGAAACAACCCAGACCGCCAGCUAAGGUCCCAAAGUCAUGGUUAAGUGGGAAACGAUGUGGGAAGGCCCAGACAGCCAGGAUGUUGGCUUAGAAGCAGCCAUCAUUUAAAGAAAGCGUAAUAGCUCACUGGUCGAGUCGGCCUGCGCGGAAGAUGUAACGGGGCUAAACCAUGCACCGAAGCUGCGGCAGCGAACGUAUCACUUAAAGCGAUUCAGCGGAUGACGAUUGACGGAGCGAAGCGACGUCAAAGCGUAUACAAAGUCGAGUCGGUUUAAGGAUACGUUCGUUGGGUAGGGGAGCGUUCUGUAAGCCUGUGAAGGUGGCCUGUGAGGGUUGCUGGAGGUAUCAGAAGUGCGAAUGCUGACAUAAGUAACGAUAAAGCGGGUGAAAAGCCCGCUCGCCGGAAGACCAAGGGUUCCUGUCCAACGUUAAUCGGGGCAGGGUGAGUCGACCCCUAAGGCGAGGCCGAAAGGCGUAGUCGAUGGGAAACGGGUUAAUAUUCCCGUACUUGGUGUUACUGCGAAGGGGGGACGGAGAAGGCUAUGUUGGCCGGGCGACGGUUGUCCCGGUUUAAGCGUGUAGGUGUGUGUUCCAGGUAAAUCCGGUUCACUUUAACACUGAGGCGUGAUGACGAGGCACUACGGUGCUGAAGCAACAAAUGCCCUGCUUCCAGGAAAAGCCUCUAAGCAUCAGGUAACAUCAAAUCGUACCCCAAACCGACACAGGUGGUCAGGUAGAGAAUACCAAGGCGCUUGAGAGAACUCGGGUGAAGGAACUAGGCAAAAUGGUGCCGUAACUUCGGGAGAAGGCACGCUGACACGUAGGUGAAGUGAUUUACUCAUGGAGCUGAAGUCAGUCGAAGAUACCAGCUGGCUGCAACUGUUUAUUAAAAACACAGCACUGUGCAAACACGAAAGUGGACGUAUACGGUGUGACGCCUGCCCGGUGCCGGAAGGUUAAUUGAUGGGGUCAGCGCAAGCGAAGCUCCUGAUCGAAGCCCCGGUAAACGGCGGCCGUAACUAUAACGGUCCUAAGGUAGCGAAAUUCCUUGUCGGGUAAGUUCCGACCUGCACGAAUGGCGUAAUGAUGGCCAGGCUGUCUCCACCCGAGACUCAGUGAAAUUGAACUCGCUGUGAAGAUGCAGUGUACCCGCGGCAAGACGGAAAGACCCCGUGAACCUUUACUAUAGCUUGACACUGAACAUUGAGCCUUGAUGUGUAGGAUAGGUGGGAGGCUUUGAAGUGUGGACGCCAGUCUGCAUGGAGCCGGCCUUGAAAUACCACCCUUUAAUGUUUGAUGUUCUAACGUGGACCCGUUACCCGGGUUGCGGACAGUGUCUGGUGGGUAGUUUGACUGGGGCGGUCUCCUCCUAAAGAGUAACGGAGGAGCACGAAGGUUGGCUAAUCCUGGUCGGACAUCAGGAGGUUAGUGCAAUGGCAUAAGCCAGCUUGACUGCGAGCGUGACGGCGCGAGCAGGUGCGAAAGCAGGUCAUAGUGAUCCGGUGGUUCUGAAUGGAAGGGCCAUCGCUCAACGGAUAAAAGGUACUCCGGGGAUAACAGGCUGAUACCGCCCAAGAGUUCAUAUCGACGGCGGUGUUUGGCACCUCGAUGUCGGCUCAUCACAUCCUGGGGCUGAAGUAGGUCCCAAGGGUAUGGCUGUUCGCCAUUUAAAGUGGUACGCGAGCUGGGUUUAGAACGUCGUGAGACAGUUCGGUCCCUAUCUGCCGUGGGCGCUGGAGAACUGAGGGGGGCUGCUCCUAGUACGAGAGGACCGGAGUGGACGCAUCACUGGUGUUCGGGUUGUCAUGCCAAUGGCACUGCCCGGUAGCUAAAUGCGGAAGAGAUAAGUGCUGAAAGCAUCUAAGCACGAAACUUGCCCCGA
RNAcentral lists this ribosomal RNA (2311 nucleotides) under Salmonella enterica subsp. enterica serovar Bovismorbificans. RNAcentral's name for it is "partial 23S ribosomal RNA". It matches the Rfam family "Bacterial large subunit ribosomal RNA", at positions 589 to 2802 of the family's 2925-position model. Lineage: Bacteria; Pseudomonadati; Pseudomonadota; Gammaproteobacteria; Enterobacterales; Enterobacteriaceae. The record is from RNAcentral.